Molecule: long non-coding RNA, 558 nt
Organism: Anguilla anguilla (European eel)
Lineage: Eukaryota; Metazoa; Chordata; Actinopteri; Anguilliformes; Anguillidae
Exons: 3
Source: RefSeq, a predicted model, not a curated record
GUGGAAACCCAGAAACAGUCAAGCAUGCUCUCCUGGAGUGUGGCAAGUAUAAAGCAGAGAGGGAAACUUUCUAUAAGAGAUUGUCAGACCUAGGAGUAGUUGCAUUCUCCAUUAAAUCUUUUUUUGGCCAAAGCAAGAACCACCAGCUGAUCACCAAUACAGUUUUACAGUUCCUGCAUGAUUCAGGGCUGUAUAUGAGAGUAUGAGCUGCAAUUGUUAAAUUUCUAUCCUGCGAAGUUGCGCCUAGUUGCGUCUACACUGCCAAAAAACUGACAAGAAGAAGAAGAAGACGUGUUCUUGGAAGAAGGUUGUUGUGAUUUCAAAUUCUCCGUGGGAAAACCUGGGUUUGACGGCGUUCAAGAGCAGAGUUCUCUACAUUUGGCCCAACAGCUCAAAUGGAAACUAGAGCACAAGAUCAGAAUGAAGCUCCCACACAUGGCCUUAUGACUGUUGCCCCAGUGAAGAGCCCGAGGUCCAGCCUUCCCCACUCAAGACAUGCCUGAGACAAGAGUGACUGUAUUCCAAGUUGAUCCAAGGUGAUCCUAACUUAAAUGUAGU